CGUCAAUAAAGCUAGCAGUUUCAAUAAACCACAUCAAAAAGGUCUGAAGCCUUUCAUGAUAUUCUCGAAAGCCUCUACAUGUCAUGUCAGCCUAGGGAAAAAGCCAGGAAAAGCACCCUUCUGAACUCCAGUCACAGAGU
Herpailurus yagouaroundi (jaguarundi) is the source of this 140-nucleotide long non-coding RNA. RefSeq lists it as uncharacterized. Lineage: Eukaryota; Metazoa; Chordata; Mammalia; Carnivora; Felidae. The transcript is spliced from 4 exons. The record is from RefSeq and is a predicted model, not a curated record.